AUUGAACGCUGGCGGCAUGCCUUACACAUGCAAGUCGAACGGCAGCAUGGAGAGCUUGCUCUCUGAUGGCGAGUGGCGAACGGGUGAGUAAUGCAUCGGAACGUACCGUGUAAUGGGGGAUAACGUAGCGAAAGUUACGCUAAUACCGCAUACGACCUGAGGGUGAAAGCAGGGGAUCGCAAGACCUUGCGUUAUACGAGCGGCCGAUGUCAGAUUAGCUAGUUGGUGAGGUAAAGGCUCACCAAGGCGACGAUCUGUAGCGGGUCUGAGAGGAUGAUCCGCCACACCGGGACUGAGACACGGCCCAGACUCCUACGGGAGGCAGCAGUGGGGAAUUUUGGACAAUGGGGGCAACCCUGAUCCAGCCAUGCCGCGUGAGUGAAGGAGGCCUUCGGGUUGUAAAGCUCUUUUGUCAGGGAAGAAACACCGGCUCUAACACAGUCCGGGAAUGACGGUACCUGAAGAAUAAGCACCGGCUAACUACGUGCCAGCCGCCGCCGUAA
Molecule: ribosomal RNA, 503 nt
Filed under: uncultured bacterium
Lineage: Bacteria
Description: partial 16S ribosomal RNA
Rfam family: Bacterial small subunit ribosomal RNA
Source: RNAcentral